RNAcentral lists this ribosomal RNA (449 nucleotides) under uncultured bacterium. RNAcentral describes it as "partial 16S ribosomal RNA". It matches the Rfam family "Bacterial small subunit ribosomal RNA", at positions 339 to 795 of the family's 1533-position model. The record is from RNAcentral.
CUACGGGAGGCACCAGUGGGGAAUAUUGCGCAAUGGGCGAAAGCCUGACGCAGCAACGCCGCGUGGGUGAUGAAGGCCUUCGGGUCGUAAAGCCCUGUCGGGAGGGAAGAACACCUUCGGGUCUGACGGUACCUCCCAAGGAAGCACAGGCUAACUCCGUGCCAGCAGCCGCGGUAAUACGGAGUGUGCAAGCGUUGUUCGGAAUUACUGGGCGUAAAGCGCGCGUAGGCGGCUUGGUAAGUCAGAUGUGAAAUCCCUCGGCUCAACCGAGGAACUGCAUUUGAAACUGCCAGGCUUGAGUACGGGAGGGGGAAGCGGAAUUCCCAGUGUAGAGGUGAAAUUCGUAGAUAUUGGGAGGAACACCAGCGGCGAAGGCGGCUUCCUGGACCGAUACUGACGCUGAGGCGCGAAAGCGUGGGGAGCAAACAGGAUUAGAUACCCUGGUAGUC